This is an RNA transcript of Xiphophorus hellerii (green swordtail), 3330 nucleotides long. It is a transcript of the gene named B-cell receptor CD22-like, with no coding region annotated. The record is from RefSeq and is a predicted model, not a curated record. Lineage: Eukaryota; Metazoa; Chordata; Actinopteri; Cyprinodontiformes; Poeciliidae. The transcript is spliced from 9 exons.
AUGAUCAUCCCAUCGUCAUGAGAGAGAGAGAGAGAGAAAGCGAGAAAGAAAUUUAUUGUGGCACUAAAAUCAAAAACUUUGCUUAGGUUUUCUAACUUUGUGUUUUGCCUUUUAGUUUAGGUUUUAUUUUGCUUAGGUUGCCCUAAAACCAGACUUAUUUCUAUUACAUUGUGUUUACUCUGCAUUAAAUGGGAGUCACGUAGACUAUAUCGUUAAGGUGCAAAACUAUAGGGGCUAUCAUAGAUUGUAUUUAUAAUCUGUAAUACAUUCAAUUAAUCUCAUAUUUUGUGUUGCAAGGGUUCAUCUCUUCCCCUCAUUUUUGACAGGACAGGACUUGUAGUUGACAGAACAGAUAACUCCUGUGUAAAAUUUGCCAACAAACACUCACAGUAAAAGAACAUUUUUAUUACGAGCCUCAACUAACAAGUACAUUUAUCAAAGUUCAUUAGAGGGGACCAACUUUUUUCUGUGAUUGUUAUGAAGCUGAGCACUCUAUCAUUAGAUCAUGCUUGACAUAACAGGAAAUGAAAGUAAGCUUCAUUGUGUUGCGGCAUCAAAUAAAAGGUAUCUUCUUCUUUUGUGGAAGUCACUGAAGCAACAAUAUGUUGCCCUAAGAUAAAUUCAAAAAUGGAGCAUGUGAAACUUAAUAAAAUAUAGGCAGAAGGGAUAGAGAGCAAUCAACAGAACAUAAUGAAAAAGUACUGCAUUAUACAGUAAAAUAUAUACGUGGUGGAGAGACGAGUUGGAGAAGGUUCUGCUAGUAAUUCAAAGCCAAACGUAUUAUUUCCCCCGGUCUGUAAAUACUGAUGUUUUAAACAUUUAAAAUGUUAAAAAAAAAAACAGUAGCGAAUAUCUCACAAUAUUUUAAUAAUCAUAUGAAUCCCUAUUGUUUCUAAAUUAUUUAAGAGUGAAGAAUGACAAUGGUCCGUUGGAACAACACUAGAUUCUUUUUUUCUUUUUUUUUUUUUUUUACUCAGAAAUUACCAGAAAACUCCUUUAAGAUCUAAUAUGCAAAGUAUAUAAAGUGGUAUAGCCCAUCAAACACAAACGCUGUGUGAUCGCGUUGCACAAAACCUAUUAAACUAUCAUGGCUCCAACCCUGCACCUACUGUUAACCACAACAUAAGAACAUCAGGUUGCAGUGCACGAAGUGUGGCUCCCUGCAUAGAGAUUUUGUACAUCUGACAUUGAAAUAUGAAGAGCUGAAACAGGCUUUGUAUAAGUGACCUGAUUUUUACAGGGUGAGAAGUGCAGCUUUGACCUAACACCCUGUUUUUUUAUGACAGGAAACUGCACAUUGAGGCGAUAGAUAGAAAAGCACGCAGAAGAAAAAGAGACUGCCCGCUUUUCCACUCUGACAGAUGUUAAAACUUCAGUUAAAAUUAAAAGAUCUGAACGAUUUAACGUGACUCAGCCUGAAAAUGUUGGCUGAAAGCAGACCAUUGAUGUGGACUCUGUUGCUUCUAUUUGCAGAAGAUGUUUUCUCCAACAAGUGCUUCGUGGAUUACCCCCAGCAAACCAUCUGUGCUGUCAGAGGCUCAUCUGUUGUCUUCUUUUGUAUCUUUAAUAAUAUUGAAAAACAAGAAGUAAAAAAGUUCAUGUGGGCUUAUGUGAAGUCUUCUAAAGUUCGUUUAAUUUUAAAUUACCCUGGGAAUGUAUCUGAAAGAUUUGAGUACGCCGGAGACAAAGAGCAUAACUGCUCUUUGAAAAUACACAAAGUGAAACAUUAUGAUGCUGGGAAAUAUUUUUUCAGAUACAAUACCAACAAAAGAUGCCCCACUAAACUUCUGGUAUUGAACGUUAUUGAUCUGAAUAUUUCGGUGCAAAAAGAAACGAUAAAAGAAGGAGAUUCAGUAAAUCUCACCUGCAAAAACCGCUGCGACGGUGGAGUAGGUUCAUAUGGGUACAGCUGGUUUAAAGAUGGAGAAGCCGUAAAUGAAGGACCAGUACUUCAUUUAACAGACGUGUCCUCUAAACAUUCAGGAAACUACACUUGCUCCCUAAAAAUGAAAAACGGAACAACUUCAGGAGUCGCUCAUGUCGAUGUUGAAUAUGGACCCAAGAACACAUCUGUGCUCGUCAGAUCAUCAUCUGAGAUGGGUGCGGGCAGCAGCAUUGUCCUGAUCUGCUGCAGCGACGCACUCCCGCCUGUGGAAAAUUACAGGUGGUUCAAAAUAGUAGACGGUUUGAUACAGAAAGUUGGACAUCAGGCUGAGCUGCUUCCUGUUCAUGGUGGUCAGUAUUUAUGCAGUGUCUCCAACAAACAUGGAAGUCAAAACUCCACAGUUUUCACUUUGAAGAAGAAUCCUUAUUGGACGUUUAUGAGAGACAUGCUUUUCAUUAUCAGUGCCAGUGUUGUCCUACUUCUUGUCGUGACAUCUGUUAUUGCUGUUUGCAGACUCACCAAAACCAAAAUGAGGGCAGAGACAGAACAUCUGAAAGAAAUGCAGGUCAUCUUGUUUUGUUUCCUUGAUUUAAACCACAGACAGCAUUGUUUAUCGAAUGUUAUCUGAAGCCAAAUCAAGUAAACAUCUCAAACUCUGAGUCAUCACAGAUAAAAUGUGGGAAAAUAACCUUUGAGGACAGAUGGUGCGAAUCGACUUAGGUGUGAAGACAGUCACCAGUCACAAGCUGACAACGAUCUUAAGGUUGAAGAAGCUACAACAGAAAUAAUAUAUGCAACUAUUGAAUUUCAAAAGGGAAGAAAGAGAACCAUGAAACAGCAGGAUUAUGAAAAUGAAACUGUUAUUUACAGCACAGUUCGCAGGAACUAGCUUUUGAGCCACUGAAACAGGACAUCCUCUUGAUGUGAUUGCUCGCAGCGCAGUCUGAGUAAGAGCAAAACCUUCUGCCUGUGGGAUCUUUCUGGUUGGUGGAUGUCUCUUUAGAUGAUGAAAAGAAGUACAGCAACUCACAUUUAGUCUGUCUGCCAGAAAGUAUCACUCUUGAUGAGAACUGAAAAAUAAAACUCCAAUGAGAUUUACUGAGAAAAUGUUGAAGCACAAAAACCACCAUUGUUUGUCGAUAUUUGCAUAUUUAUUGGUAUGUGACUACGGAAAAAGUUGUUUUCAAUGACUAACAGUGAGUUACUUCUUUCCAUUUCUUUUAUGUGAGGAAUCUCUCAUAGUAUGAUUCUUGUGAGACACUAGAAGUUUCUUAGAAAUGUUCUCAAAAACAUGCAAAAGGCUGUUCAGUUUUUACUUCUAAAGCCAAGAAAUGCAUUGUUUUUAAUAACUGUUGAACUUUACCUGUAAAUUCUUAAGAAAAAUCUGAAAGUCUGUCUGUGCAAAAGUGACUCAUUCACCACAAUAAAACGACAGUGCCUCCCAA